RNAcentral lists this ribosomal RNA (335 nucleotides) under Candidatus Muproteobacteria bacterium RBG_16_60_9. Its description in RNAcentral is "bacterial SSU rRNA". It matches the Rfam family "Bacterial small subunit ribosomal RNA", at positions 1 to 339 of the family's 1533-position model. Lineage: Bacteria; Pseudomonadati; Pseudomonadota; Candidatus Muproteobacteria. The record is from RNAcentral.
UUUAAUUGGAGAGUUUGAUCCUGGCUCAGAUUGAACGCUGGCGGCAUGCCUAACACAUGCAAGUCGCACGCGAAAGGGGGCAACCCUGAGUAGAGUGGCGGACGGGUGAGUAAUACGUAGGAAUCUACCUGGUAGUGGGGGACAACCCGGCGAAAGCCGGGCUAAUACCGCAUACGACCUAUGGGUGAAAGCGGGGGAUCGCAAGACCUCGCGCUAUCAGAUGAGCCUGCGUCGGAUUAGCUAGUUGGUAGGGUAAAGGCCUACCAAGGCGACGAUCCGUAGCUGGUCUGAGAGGACGACCAGCCACAUUGGGACUGAGACACGGCCCAAACUCC